CGGGAUGGUACAUAGCAUGGCUAUUCUGAAGAUGGAGCAUUAUUUUAUUGGGUUUCCUCAGAUCCUCAUCUUAGAUGCCAACAGCUAUAUUCCCUUUGUGAGAAAACAAUCGUAAGCAUUUCUGUUGGUAAGUAUUGGGCUGCAACUGCUACUGCUAUAGGUGAUGUUUACAUGUGGGAUGGCAAGAAAAGUAUGGAUAAACCACCGAGUUAAGGGAAAAAAGAUCCCUUAAAGAGUUGAUGAGAGUUGGUCAUGAGAGAAUGUAACAUGUAAACAAUUUUCUAAUAUAGAAUGUAACUUGUAAACAGAACUUAUGUAUUCUAAUGUAAUUCUAAUAUAGAAUGUAAACAAUUUUCUUAUGUAAUUCUAAUAUAGAAUGUAACUUGUUUUA
This is a long non-coding RNA of Gossypium raimondii (Peruvian cotton), 391 nucleotides long. RefSeq lists it as uncharacterized. The record is from RefSeq and is a predicted model, not a curated record. NCBI's taxonomy places the organism in Eukaryota, Viridiplantae, Streptophyta, Magnoliopsida, Malvales, Malvaceae. The transcript is spliced from 2 exons.